AAUUACAUAUUCAUAAAUCAGACAUUU
RNAcentral lists this small nuclear RNA (27 nucleotides) under Arabidopsis thaliana (thale cress). RNAcentral's name for it is "snRNA_17728". Lineage: Eukaryota; Viridiplantae; Streptophyta; Magnoliopsida; Brassicales; Brassicaceae. The record is from RNAcentral.